CAGCAGCCGCGGUAAUACGUAGGUCCCGAGCGUUGUCCGGAUUUAUUGGGCGUAAAGGGAGCGCAGGCGGUUAGUAAGUCUGAAGUUAAAGGCAUUGGCUCAACCAAUGUAUGCUUUGGAAACUGUUAGACUUGAGUGCGGAAGGGGAGAGUGGAAUUCCAUGUGUAGCGGUGAAAUGCGUAGAUAUAUGGAGGAACACCGGUGGCGAAAGCGGCUCUCUGGUCUGUCACUGACGCUGAGGCGCGAAAGCGUGGGGAGCAAACAGGAUUAGAUACCCCCGUAGUCCCUGUCUCUUAUACAC
RNAcentral lists this ribosomal RNA (301 nucleotides) under uncultured bacterium. RNAcentral describes it as "partial 16S ribosomal RNA". It matches the Rfam family "Bacterial small subunit ribosomal RNA", at positions 509 to 809 of the family's 1533-position model. The record is from RNAcentral.